RNAcentral lists this ribosomal RNA (430 nucleotides) under bacterium. RNAcentral's name for it is "bacterial SSU rRNA". It matches the Rfam family "Bacterial small subunit ribosomal RNA", at positions 354 to 776 of the family's 1533-position model. The record is from RNAcentral. RNAcentral also lists the same sequence under 2 other names.
GUGGGGAAUUUUGGACAAUGGGCGAAAGCCUGAUCCAGCAAUGCCGCGUGCAGGAUGAAGGCCUUCGGGUUGUAAACUGCUUUUGUACGGAACGAAAAAGCUUCUCCUAAUACGAGAGGCCCAUGACGGUACCGUAAGAAUAAGCACCGGCUAACUACGUGCCAGCAGCCGCGGUAAUACGUAGGGUGCGAGCGUUAAUCGGAAUUACUGGGCGUAAAGCGUGCGCAGGCGGUUAUGUAAGACAGAUGUGAAAUCCCCGGGCUCAACCUGGGAACUGCAUUUGUGACUGCAUGGCUAGAGUACGGUAGAGGGGGAUGGAAUUCCGCGUGUAGCAGUGAAAUGCGUAGAUAUGCGGAGGAACACCGAUGGCGAAGGCAAUCCCCUGGACCUGUACUGACGCUCAUGCACGAAAGCGUGGGGAGCAAACAGG